Molecule: ribosomal RNA, 460 nt
Filed under: uncultured bacterium
Lineage: Bacteria
Description: partial 16S ribosomal RNA
Rfam family: Bacterial small subunit ribosomal RNA
Source: RNAcentral
CCUACGGGUGGCAGCAGUGAGGAAUAUUGGUCAAUGGACGCAAGUCUGAACCAGCCAUGCCGCGUGCAGGAAGACGGCUCUAUGAGUUGUAAACUGCUUUUGUACGAGGGUAAACGCAGAUACGCGUAUCUGUCUGAAAGUAUCGUACGAAUAAGGAUCGGCUAACUCCGUGCCAGCAGCCGCGGUAAUACAGAGGAUUCAAGCGUUAUCCGGAUUUAUUGGGUUUAAAGGGUGCGUAGGCGGUCGGAUAAGUUAGAGGUGAAAUCCCGAGGCUCAACUUCGGAAUUGCCUCUGAUACUGUUAGGCUAGAGAGUAGUAGAGGUAGGUGGAAUGUAUGGUGUAGCGGUGAAAUGCUUAGAGAUCAUACAGAACACCGAUUGCGAAGGCAGCUUACCAAGCUGCUUCUGACGUUGAGGCACGAAAGCGUGGGGAGCAAACAGGAUUAGAUACCCCAGUAGUC